Molecule: ribosomal RNA, 253 nt
Filed under: uncultured bacterium
Lineage: Bacteria
Description: partial 16S ribosomal RNA
Rfam family: Bacterial small subunit ribosomal RNA
Source: RNAcentral
UACGUAGGGGGCAAGCGUUGUCCGGAAUCAUUGGGCGUAAAGAGCGCGUAGGCGGCCCUGUAAGUCCGCUGUGAAAGUCCGGGGCUCAACUCCGGAUCUGCGGUGGGUACGGGCAGACUAGAGUGAUGUAGGGGAGACUGGAAUUCCUGGUGUAGCGGUGAAAUGCGCAGAUAUCAGGAGGAACACCGAUGGCGAAGGCAGGUCUCUGGGCCGAUACUGACGCUGAGGAGCGAAAGCGUGGGGAGCGAACAGG